ACAGGACAUUAUAAAUGGAAGAUUGUGGCACUUCAAAUUUCAAUUUGAGGCGCCACCAUUUUUUCCAAUCGCACCUCUCAAAGCGCCUCACUCUCUCCUCCCAUUUUUGUUCGUCAAGUUUUGCUGUCGUACUAGAAUUCGCCAUUUUCUCCAACAUUAAGGAAGACCUGUAAGGUUGUGACAGUGACACAUAAAUGUACAUACGAAUUCCAGAAGCAUUGAACUUGGUGGUUUUGCUGAGGCGAAAAAGAUGGAGGUAUGAUUUAGCACCUUAAGAAGGUUGAUCAAGAUGAUAUUGUCGUGAAAAAGAGAAGUUUGGAAGAGCUAAGAGCCUAAGAGUGCUUUUUAUAUGGUACAAUGAAAUUUAUGGAGAAUUUUAUGUUGCAUUGCUUUUCUUCAUAUUUUCAAUGAACACUGGAUCAGAUGAUAUCAAGAAUAAUCACUAACCUAAAUGAUGAACUAAUAUGAAAAAUAGUCUGGUAACUUACAUGCUGUUCAGUUUAAUGAUCAACUUCUUUGUUUGGAAAAAUGUAGAUCCUUUAGUGAAUUGAAUUUGGGGUGGCGUCAAGUGGACUAACAACAAAUAUUAGGCACUAUUCUACAAUUUUCCUAGCCUUGGGGUGUAAUUUACUUGGAGUUGGACUAAGUACAAAGUUCCUACUGAAUCAUCAAUAAGAAUCAUCAUAGAAUGUUGAAAUCAAUAUUCCAUUAGUUCCAGUUCAAAUUAUAUCAGGAAUUCAGGGACUACAAAGAAGUAAUAAGUUUGCUAUAUACUUAUAAGAAUAAGGACAAUUUUCGGCCUUUGAUGUGGGCAUCGUUUCUUGUUUCUGGGGUGCAAUGAGUGGGAGUUCUGAAGUGUUAGAUUCAUCAUAUGCUAGUUGGAUCCUGUACCUUAUUUCAUCUUAGCAGCCCGUCUAUUCUUCUGACAUUAUUCAUUUGAUAUACUCUUGCAUUCAAAAAAGCCUCUGACAGAGAAUUAGCAGAGCGGCCUCGUCUCUGCUUCCUGUGGGCUUUUUGGCCCUCAUGUGUGGAUCAACCAUUUAACCAUUUUCAUAUUGAAGGUAAGUUUCUUGCUCCUGCUUUUAAAGCGUUAAUUAAUGUUAUUCUUAUGAUUUAUUGAUCAUGGCAGCUUCAAUCCUAACACACCAGAGAAAUGUGUAUUUCUUUCUUAUGAAAAUGUCAUAUAGAUACCUGACUGAAUUGCAACUUGGCAAGAUUGCUAGUUUAGUAAAAUCAUUUAUUGGGAUUAAAAAAAUAAGAUAUUUUAUUUCAAUAUUUAAUCUUCCUUGCUAUCUCUUACAUGGAAUUGGAGAUUAUGUAAGUCACUUUAGAUGUAAGAAGCACACAUGGUAUAUAUGUAAUAAUAACUUGAUAAGCAGAAAGUUCCAGAAAGCAUGCACUUCAUGGGAAUUUACUAUAGAUUUUGCUUGUAUGAAGUCAGAACCCAACUAUUCUUUGUUUUGCUAGUGUUCCCCUCCUGGAAACUUCAGGUCUAGUGGAUCCUGCAAAAUUAGAGAAAGGGGGCAGCAAAGGAAGAAGUUAGAUGUAACAAAAGUUGAAAAACUCGACCUUCAAUAAUUAUCAAUUAUUUUUAUGUACUCAAAUUAUUGUUUCGGAUGGUCCAGUACUCUAGGCAGUCAUAUCACUAUUAUUUUUUUGAAUGGAAAGCCUUAUAAGAAAAAGUUUUAGAAUAAAACUAUAAAAGUAAGAGUUAUAAAAAUGUACUAAAAAAGUUCAGCAAAAUAUAUGGGUUAGUGAUCAGUGUCAGACUGAGUCAGACGGUUUGACAAAAGACCGGGUGAGUUAUAUUAUUAGUCACAUAUCCGAGUUGGAAGAAAAAUAGGAGGGAAUUUUACUGAGAGCAGUCUGCCUGGGGGCCAACAGGCCCUGGAAUGCUGACCCCACAUUUGCCGGGAAGUGCAGCUGAGUACUUGUGGUUGAUGCCUGGAAUGGCUGAAGCGGCUGAUUUCAUGCACCUACAAGCAGUUCUUUUGUCCUGGGUUGUGGGAGUCAAGUUUCGGAGGGUCUUAACA
Beta vulgaris subsp. vulgaris (sugar beet) is the source of this 2033-nucleotide long non-coding RNA. RefSeq lists it as uncharacterized. The record is from RefSeq and is a predicted model, not a curated record. NCBI's taxonomy places the organism in Eukaryota, Viridiplantae, Streptophyta, Magnoliopsida, Caryophyllales, Amaranthaceae. The transcript is spliced from 3 exons.